Molecule: ribosomal RNA, 539 nt
Filed under: uncultured bacterium
Lineage: Bacteria
Description: bacterial SSU rRNA
Rfam family: Bacterial small subunit ribosomal RNA
Source: RNAcentral
AAUAGAUACCCAGGUAGUCCACGCCGUAAACGAUGAAUACUAGGUGUCGGAGGGUACCACCUUCGGUGCCGCAGCAAACGCAAUAAGUAUUCCGCCUGGGGAGUACGGUCGCAAGAUUAAAACUCAAAGGAAUUGACGGGGACCCGCACAAGCAGCGGAGCAUGUGGUUUAAUUCGAAGCAACGCGAAGAACCUUACCUAGACUUGACAUCUCCUGAAUUACUCGUAACGGAGGAAGCCCUUCGGGGCAGGAAGACAGGUGGUGCAUGGUUGUCGUCAGCUCGUGUCGUGAGAUGUUGGGUUAAGUCCCGCAACGAGCGCAACCCUUAUUGUUAGUUGCUACCAUUAAGUUGAGCACUCUAACGAGACUGCCGCGGUUAACGUGGAGGAAGGUGGGGAUGACGUCAAAUCAUCAUGCCCCUUAUGUCUAGGGCUACACACGUGCUACAAUGGCCGGUACAAUAAGAUGCAAUCCCGUGAGGGGGUAGCUAAACUCAAAAGCCGGUCCCAGUUCGGAUUGUAGGCUGAAACUCGCCUACA